GAAAUGACUUUGUAAGCAUUGAUUUAUCCCAAAACAGAUUUGAAGGAGAGAUUCCAAGUGUCAUUGGGGAACUUCAUUCACUCAGAGGGCUAAACCUUUCCCAUAACAGACUUAUUGGUCCUAUUCCCCAAUCCGUGGGAAAUUUGAGAAACUUAGAAUCGUUGGAUCUCUCCUCAAAUAUGCUUACUGGUGGGAUACCUACAGAAUUAAUCAAUUUGAACUUUCUUGAAGUCCUAAAUCUUUCCAAUAACAAUCUUGUGGGAGAAAUACCUCAAGGAAAACAGUUCGGUACUUUUUCCAAUGAUUCCUAUGAGGGAAACUCAGGGUUAUGUGGACUCCCACUGACAAUCAAAUGCAGCAAGGACCCUGAACAACAUUCUCCACCUUCAACUACCUUCAGGAGAGAAGGAGGAUUUGGAUUUGGUUGGAAACCAGUGGCUAUAGGAUAUGGAUGUGGAAUGGUCUUUGGAGUUGGAAUGGGAUGUUGUGUACUGUUAAUGGGAAAGCCUCAAUGGCUUGUGAGAAUGGUUGGAGGUCAACUAAAUAAAAAGGUGAAAAGGAAGACAAGGAUGAAAUCUAAUGAAAAUGGUAGCAUAAUGAAUUAGAUGAUAUGUGGCAUGACUGUAGAAUGUCUUCUUGCACACCUUCCUGUUGAAAUUCAAUUCUGCCUUGUUGAAAAUAAAACAUAAGGGCCAAAACCUUAUCACACUGCAUUGCAUAUGCAUGGGAGAUCUGUUUCAAAGUUUAGUUGUAAUUGUAAUAUGAUGUGUUGUACUUUUUUUUUUCUCUGUUGGAUAGAUGAGUGUGAUGUACUUUUUUCCCCUUCCUUUGCUACUGAAACUCGGGUCUAAAUCAUCAUAAGUUUGAUGUUCUUCAUUUUCCUUGAGCGGGCUAUUUUGUUUUAUUUAAUACAUAUAAUUGUAGUAUUGGUUAUAUAAUAAUAGUUGUUGUUGUAUACUCUUAAAAAUGUUCUGCAUUCGUCGUUGCUAGAAACAAAAUAUUUUGUGUUAACAGUAUGUAGUUAUAUUUCAUUCGAGGAGCUUAGUUCACGUACAGUAGUUUUCCUAUUUCGUUUCUAACUCCCUCAUGCACAUAUUGUCUUACAUGGCAAUUCUAUGACUGGAUGACCAUAUAAAAAAACUUGACACAGAUAUGGAAAGAUUUUCAAGAGCUGUCCUGAGGAGGUUCAUUGUCUUGAUGACUAGGAUGGGAUUGAGUUUGAAUCUGUUUUAUACUAGCCAGCAAUUUCUAGGCCACACCAACCUGCUGCAAAGUACUUGGGAGGCACACAAAAGACUAAGAAUGCUGUUUUCUGAACCUUUAUCAAUUGAUGGCCUGAAAAAAUAUUUUUCAUUUCAUAAAUACUCAGGCAAUGGAAACAUUAGAUAAAUGCCUAGGAAGGAAAGUGUUAGAAUUAAUGUCUCAUGUGAGAGGUAUAUGACUUAGUAGGGACUAAUAAAUAAAUAAUUAACGAUUAAAGGCUAAAUUGUAAUUGGGCUUAAUAGGAGAAGUUUCUAGGUUAACUGCUACUUGAUGGGAGUAGUGGUUAUAAAAGGGGCUUAAUACCCACUAACGUGAAAUAAGGUCCCCUUCCUGACCAAAAAGUGCUCUUUUCUCACCCAUAGCCAUCACGAACGGAGAGAGACAGAAAAGAAAGGUCAAAGGAAGUGAAAUCCUAUUUCUCUCAUCUUCAAAGAAAUCAAAGUGCACCAGAGAGAAGUUCCUAUGGAGAAAGGUACACAUCAUUAUCUAUUAUUCUUUAUUGAUUGUUUGUGAGAAUCAUAGGUUUCAAGAUCCUGUUGGUUUUCUAUAAUUGAUAGUCUAGGAAACCCCUUAAGAAUUUUUACAUGUGGUAUCAGAGCAUGUGUUAUGAAAUUUAUGAUUCUCCAAGAAUGAUUUAAUUUCUCCCAAUUAUGUAUGAACCCUAAUUAUGAAAUUUAGGGAUAAUUUAAUUUCUCUCAAUUAUGUAUGAACCCUAAUUAUGAAAUUUAGGGAUAAUUUAAUUUCUCCCAAUUAUGCAUAAAUCCUAAUUAUGAAAUUUAGGAAUUUUAUUUUCCGCUGCAUUUAUUGUUUUAUUGGUAAUAUUUUAUUAUUGUUGAAUACCAAUUUUUGGAGAAAGUAUAAAUAUUAUGUAAAUUUGGAGAAAACGAUUGUGGCUGCCACUAUCUAUUUAUAAUGGAAAAAGAAAGCGUGAGUUGCAAUUCCAAUUCAUGGAAAAGCUAUGGCUGCUACACGUAGGUUAGUAAGUGAAGGAAUUUUGAAAAGCUGCGCACUGCGCAGGUAUGUUUGUUCCUAUAAGAAAUUUUGGAAAUUGCUAUUUCCAACCUUAUGUUUGCUAUUUCCAAUCCCAUUUAAUUUUUUUUUUCUCCGAAAAAUUAUUGUUGAACGUGAUUAAAGGAUUGAAAAUUUAUGUUCUGUAAUUAAAUUAAUGUGAAUGUUUUGCAAUUAUUGAUAGUAGUAAAUAUAUGUAUAUGCUACAUAUUUGCUUGAACGUGUUGGAAUGUAAAAACACAAAUAAAUGCAAAUCUUAUUUUAUGGUCUGGAAUGAAAUUAAUAGAAUGACUAUGAAUUGUUAAUAGCAAUAAGUAUGUGCAGGCCAUACAUAUUUGGUUGGAAUUAAAUGUAUGUUGAAUUUGUUAGUCACCAAAGUGACCAAAUUUGUAAGAUUAUUUAAUUCCAAAUCAAUGAUUAUUUCAAUUAUACUUGGUUGGAAUUAAAUGUAUGUUGAAUUUGUUAGUCACCAAAGUGGCCAAAUUUGUAAGGUUAUUUAAUUCCAAAAUUAAUGAUUAUUUUGAUUACUCAUAGAAUAAUGGAUGCUAAAUUAUAUGGUUAUUGGUUUAUGGGUAAUUGAAAUUCAUUGUUAUAAGGCAUUUAUGGAUCGCUCAAAGGUUGAUUAGUUGUUCUUAUAAUUAAUGAAUAUAAUUGUAGACGAUUUGUGUGUAUCAUUAGUUUUAUUUAUAUGCCCAAAGGAAAUAGAUACUACUAAUUGGUGCAUAUUUAAUUGCCAAAUAAUGUUAAAAUUUUAUUAGUAUCAUUAUGUUUGUAUGUUGUGUGUUGAUGUAUCACCCAAAGGAGAACAUCAAUAUACAUUGACUGUUAUCUGAAUGAAUCAUAUGUGAUUGAGAGAUGGAAAUACCAUUGUUUCCACGUUUGAUCUUUAUUCCUAAGAUCACAUCCGCCUCCCCCAUAUCUUUCAUAUCAAACUUAGAAGACAAAAAUGCCUUAGUUUCAUCAACUUGAUCUUGGUCGGUACCAAAGAUCAACAUGUCGUCUACAUACAGACAAAUGAUAACUCCUUUGCCAUGAGUAUCAAACUUGCUGUAUAGACAUUUAUCUGCUUGGUUUAUAACAAAACCACUAGACAACACAACCUCAUCAAAUUUUUGAUGCCAUUGCUUAGGCGCUUGUUUCAAGCCAUAAAGAGAUUUCAUCAGUUUACACACCUUAUUUUCAUUUCCUGGCAUAACAAACCCUUCAGGUUGUUUCAUGUAUAUCUCUUCAUCCAAUUCACCAUUUAAGAAUGCAGUUUUCACAUCCAUUUGGUGAAUCAUCAGAUUGUGGAUAGCAGCAAGUGCUAACAACAGUCUAAUAGUGGAUAUCCUAGCUACAGGAGCAUAUGUAUCGAAAAAAUCAAUACCCUUCUUUUGCCUAAAGCCUUGGAUAACCAAUCUGGCUUUGUACUUGUCAACAGUACCAUCCACUUUCAUCUUUCUCCUAAAGAUCAUCUUACAUCCUAAUGGCUUACAUCCAGGAGGUAAGUCAACCAAUUUCCAUGUAUUAUUUUGCAUGAUGGAAUCCAUCUCACUUUGGAUUACUUCUUUCCAGAAUACAGCAUCCCUUGAAGCCAUUGCUUCACUAAAAGUCUUUGGGUCUUCCUCAACAUUAAGGCAAUAUUGAUAUUGAAAUUCAAUAUCAUUCCUUGACCCUUCAACCAAAUAGAGUUGAAAGUCAUCACCAAAUGACUUAGCUUUUCUUACUCUCGUACUCUUUCUAGUUUCAGUACUAGUUAAAGGUAUAUCCUCAAUAUUAACUGAGACUUUCGACAUGGAAUUCAUGUCCUUUGGCCUAGGUAUAGAUGUAAACCUUUGUUCAUGGGAAAAUGGGACAGAUUGUUGCUCUUGGGCUGGAGUCACCUGCCACCCCAUCUCAGGUCACGUCACUCAGCUCAACCUCAGCUGCAAUGGCCUUUACGGCAAUAUCCAUCCAAACAGUACGCUUUUUCAUCUUUCUCAUCUUCACUCACUCAACCUUGCUUUCAAUGAUUUUGAUGAAUCUCAUUUGUCAUCUCUCUUUGGUGGGUUUGUGAGCCUCACUCAUCUCAACUUGUCUAAUUCGUACUUUGAAGGGGAUAUUCCUUCCCAAAUCUCUCACCUUUCCAAAUUAGUCUCACUUGAUCUCUCAGAUAACAACCUCAACGGUUCAAUCCCAUCCUCACUCUUAACCCUCACACAUCUUACUUUCUUGGAUCUCUCAUAUAACCAACUCAGUGGUCAAAUCCCAGAUGUCUUUCCUCAGUCAAACAGCUUUCACGAAUUGCAUUUGAAUGAUAACAAAAUAGAGGGUGAGCUGCCAUCAACACUUUCAAAUCUUCAACAUCUCAUUCUCUUGGAUCUUUCAGAUAAUAAAUUGGAGGGCCCUCUGCCUAACAAUAUAACAGGGUUUUCAAACCUAACAUCGUUAAGGUUAAAUGGAAACUUACUGAAUGGGACAAUUCCUUCUUGGUGUUUAUCUUUGCCAUCUUUGAAGCAGUUAGAUCUAUCAGGAAACCAACUCUCUGGGCAUAUUAGUGCAAUCUCAUCAUAUUCCUUGGAGACAUUGUCUUUAUCCCACAACAAGUUACAAGGCAAUAUUCCAGAAUCAAUUUUUAGCCUUCUAAACCUUUAUUACUUAGGUCUAUCAUCAAACAAUCUAAGUGGAUCUGUCAAAUUUCAUCGUUUCUCCAAGCUUCAAUAUUUGGAAGAACUUCACCUUUCAUGGAAUGAUCAGUUAUCACUAAAUUUCGAAUCCAAUGUCAAUUAUAAUUUCUCUAAUUUAAGGUUGUUGAACUUAUCUUCUAUGGUUUUAACUGAAUUUCCAAAAUUAUCGGGAAAAGUCCCAAUUUUAGAAUCACUCUAUUUGUCCAAUAACAAACUUAAAGGUAGAGUGCCACAUUGGUUGCAUGAAAUAUCGUUAUCUGAAUUGGACCUCUCUCAUAACCUAUUGACACAAUCAUUGCACCAAUUCUCGUGGAACCAACAACUCGGUUCCCUUGAUCUUAGUUUUAACUCAAUCACUGGUGACUUCUCUUCCUCAAUUUGCAAUGCAAGUGCAAUUGAGAUUCUCAACUUGUCUCACAACAAGUUGACAGGAACCAUUCCACAAUGCCUUGCAAACUCAUCAUCCCUUCUAGUUUUGGAUCUACAACUGAACAAGCUUCAUGGCACUUUGCCAAGUAUCUUUUCAAAGGACUGUCAGCUCAGAACUCUGGAUCUCAAUGGCAACCAAUUAUUAGAAGGUCUUUUGCCAGAAUCUAUAUCCAAUUGCAUUCAUCUGGAGGUUUUAGAUCUUGGAAACAAUCAAAUAAAGGAUGUGUUUCCCCAUUGGCUUCAAACUCUACCAGAAUUGAAAGUAUUGGUUUUGCGAGCCAACAAGUUGUACGGUCCCAUUGCCGGUUUAAAGAUCAAGGAUGGAUUCCCCAGUUUAGUCAUCUUUGAUGUCUCUUCCAACAACUUCAGCGGCCCAAUACCAAAAGCCUACAUACAAAAAUUUGAAGCGAUGAAGAACGUUGUUAUAGAUACCGAUCUGCAGUACAUGGAAAUUUCUUUUUCUUAUGGUGGAAACAAGUACAGUGAUUCUGUGACUAUAACAACAAAAGCAAUUACUAUGACAAUGGAUAGAAUUCGAAAUGACUUUGUAAGCAUUGAUUUAUCGCAAAACGGAUUUGAAGGAGAGAUUCCAAAUGCCAUUGGAGAGCUUCAUUCACUCAGAGGACUCAACCUUUCCCAUAACAGACUUAUUGGUCCUAUUCCCCAAUCCAUGGGAAAUUUGACAAACUUAGAAUCAUUGGAUCUCUCCUCAAAUAUGCUCACUGGUCGGAUACCUACAGAAUUAACCAAUUUGAACUUUCUUGAAGUGCUAAAUCUUUCCAAUAACCAUCUUGCGGGAGAAAUACCUCGAGGACAACAGUUCAAUACUUUUUCCAAUGAUUCCUACAAGGGAAACUUGGGGUUAUGUGGACUCCCAUUGACAACAGAAUGCAGCAAGGGCCCUGAACAACAUUCUCCACCUUCAACUACCUUGAGGAGAGAAGCAGGAUUUGGAUUUGGUUGGAAACCAGUGGCUAUAGGAUAUGGAUGUGGAGUGGUCUUUGGAGUGGGAAUGGGAUGUUGUGUAUUGUUAAUAGGAAAGCCUCAAUGGCUUGUGAGAAUGGUUGGAGGUAAACUCAAUAAAAAGGUGAAAAGGAAGACAAGGAUGAGAUCUAAUGAAAAUGGUAGCAGAAUGAAUUAGUUGAUAUAUGGCAUGACUGGAGAAUGUCUUGUUACAUACCUGCCAUCUUUGAAAACAAAACUUAAGGGCAAGAACUUGAUCACACUGCAUUGCAUGGGAGAUCUGGUUCAAAGUUUUGCUGUAAUAUGAAUGUGUUGUACUUUUGCUUUUUUGUGUGUUCUUCUUCGUUUGUUGUGUAGAAGAGUGCGAUGUAUUGAGUUGCAGUUUUGAUUUAUUUAAUACGUAUAACUGUGGCAUUAAUUGGUUGUAUAAUAAUAGAUGUUGUAUAUUUUUAAAAAUGCUAUGUAUUGGCCAAUGCUAAAAUAUCUUGUAUCUUAAUUCAAGAGCUGAAUUCACGGUUUUAGCUUCCAUUGUAGUUUAUUUAAUUAAUUUUCUAACUAUUUAAGCACCGUGACAUGGCUUUAGAAGCUGAGGUCGUCCAGGGCGUAAGUAUAAGAGCACAAACAAUGCAUACUAAAGGAAGGCUAUGGGUAUAGCCUAGGCCUCAUGGUCCGUAGGAUAUCACAUAUUUAUUUUUUAUUAAGUAAUUUUUCCCAAAUUAGAAUAAUUGUUUGGUGAAAAUUUUUCAAAAUUUGAAAUAAAAGUAGCAGUACUAAAAUCAGUUAUAAUUAAAUAUAAACUUUUUCUUUUUCAAUUACUAUUACGAUAAAUUGGUAGUGGUACGUGCUGUAAAUAUUACAUCUACUUAUAAUGUCAGCACCCAAAAAUUAUUUUUAUAAUGUAAAAUUUACAUUGUCAUUAAUUUGCUUUAUUAAUUUUUAUUAUAACUAUUUAAAAUUUAUAUUAUCAUCAUAAAAUCUGAAAAAUCGUAUCUAUAAUUUUUAAUAAGCGUAAAAUUUUGUAAUUUUUAUAAACUUUAGUAAAUAUUAAAAAAUAUAUAAUAUAAUGCUAGUAUUUUUCAAAAAAAUCAACAUUGUCCUUAAAUAAACCAGUGUGCUGUACAAUAAUUCACUUUUAUCAUUCAAAAGAAAAAUUAAAACUGUAAUUCAAAAUAAAAUAAGCAUGAGUGACUUUUAUAAUAAUGACCUUAAUGAUUAAAUAUAUUUAAUUUUAACAAAUACUUAAUUUAUUAAUAAUAUAUUUAAUUUUAACAACAUUCUAAAAAUAAGAUAAUAUCUUUUUUUAUGAAAAUAAUAUCUUAAAGAUUUGAGGAUAUAAAUUUGAAUUAUUUCUGAAUAAAAUCUUGGAUAUGCAAUUAAAUACUUGAAGAAAGAAUUGUAUCAUCCAUAAUAAUCAUAUUGAUUCAAACAAGAUUAUCUUCAAUGAAAUAUACCUAUUGUCAUGAUGAAAAACAUAAGAUGUAAGAUAUAUCUAACAAAAAGCAAAGUUAGACUUAUGUAGAUCAACCAACUAAUCCCUAUACCCACUCAUCACCUGAGCUCAGCCAAAACUCGCUUAAGCCCCAACUGUGCAUGGCUUAAGCUCUUAGCCAACACCACUUAUGCUACAUAAAAACAUGUUAGUUUGCUCAUUUGUUCUUUUCUUGCAGGAAAUCUCUCCAAGUUUGGGCUCACAUUCGUGAUUUGGCUCCUUUCCGCAGACGUUUCACUUCUUUACAGCGCAUUACUGACUCUUUAAUUAGGGGCAGAUCUACAUCAGAUGUUCAAGGAAAAUUACCCUAUAGCAAUUACAGUCUACUGCAUCAGGCUGUUUAGGAACAAGCUGAUUUUUGAAGAUUAUCAAUUUUCUGUACUAUAAGUUAUUAGCAAGAUUAAAUUUCUUAUGUAUCGACGAGCGCAUCUGUUGCAUUUGUUUUAUCAUCUUGAUAUAGGUCUUCUUGUAUUAGGAAGACUUUUGAUUUUUAACUGUCGGGUAUGCCCCGUUUAUUAUUGUAUCGUUUUGGGUUUAAUAUCAUUUACAUUUUCUCCAAAACAUGUUAGUUUUUGUGCCCAUUCUACCUUAAGCGCUACGCAAUUAAUACCACUUAAGCUACUUCAAACUAAUUUGCUCAAAUUAAAAAGAGUAGAUAUGCUACAUUAAAGAGUUUUAUUCCAUUCAAUAUCCCUUCAGAAAGUGAUUUCGCAUUGAAUGUUCCUUCUUUCUAAAAGUGAUCUCUCUCAAAGUGAUCUUUAAAACAAUGUAGAAUUUAUAAAAAAAAAAAAAAAAUUGCGUGUAAUGUGUUCCUUCUUUAACUAAGGGAUCUUUGAACAAUUUAAAAUUUUAUAAACAUUUACUAAUUCUUUUUCUGUCGAUCACCAUAGGCUUAGUAUUAGAAUUUCAAAUUUUAGAUGUGAAAGGACGAAAACUGCAAUGUGAAAAGUGAAAGUUGUUACGUGGAAGUAUAUAUAGUAAAAUGAAAAGAAAAAUCGGAAAGAACAAACUCCGUGUGAACAUCACUAAUUAAAGUUAAAGUUGGACUAAAUUAAAAGAACCAAUAAAAACAAAAGUAAGAUCACUAAUUAAAGUUAAAGUUAAACUAUUAAAAAGAACCAAUAGAAACAAAAGUAAGAGAAAUAAAAGUCAACAACAGCCUAGGUACCUCUCCAAAUACUUGCAAGCUUAAUAAAAUAAUGAAAAUCUAAUAAAAAAAAUGGAGGAAAUAGCCAACACACCUUCUAUAUAUGACCAUGCAUUGUUACAUCUCUACCACAAAAUAUGAAUAUCUAAUCUUAUUGGAAACGAUAUUAAUAAAUGAAAAGAUAAACAUCUCUUUUUAAACCUUAUACAUCAUUCACAUAAUUAUUUCAUGUAUCAUGUUUAACAUUUUUUAAUUUCAAUUUAUAUUUUCUUCUUCGUAAAUAUAAAGCCAUGUACACCCAUUAACAAAGUUCAUCUUGUUUACAGCUUCCUUUAAAAAAAACUGUUGUUUACAACUUAUUCUCCACAUUAAUUAUCUUAAUCUUUUUUUUCAAACAAAGCUCAAUCAAUUUUUCAUAUAAAAAUUAAUUCUAACUUUUAAUUUUAUUCUCAAUAUCAAACAAUCACAUCAAACACUUUAUAAUCAUCCACCAUAUUCCAACAAUAUCCAACUCCUAAAUUGUGACAGAUAUAAGUUUUCUAACUUACAAAUAUUUUAAUUUCUAAGUUAAAUUUGAAAAAUAUUAAUUUAAAAAUAACUUGUUUAAAUAAUAUAAUUGUGAAAAAUAUGUUAAUUUUAUACAUACGCUUUCAACAACUAUCUUAGAAUUAUGUAUUCUUUUUAAUUUAAUAUAACAUUUCUUUUUAAAUAUUUCUAACAUCUUGAAAUUAUAUCAUAUACAAUUAUAUUUUACAAAUAAUUUUAUAAAUGAUAUAAUUUUGAUAAAUGCAUUUUUUAUGUAUAAUUUCAACAAAUAUGUUAUUAUUUAAUUUUUUAUAGCUUAAGGUAAUAUUUAUAUUUUAAAUGUUUUUUCUUCGAAUUAUAUAUAUCAUAAACAAUUAUUUCUAGCGUUAUUUCAAAAUAAAUUUUGGGGAGCAAUUCCAUAAAGUAAGACAAAGGUUUUAGCUUGACAAUUGAAAAAAAUGCAUAAAAAAAGGGAUAUCCUGUGAAGUUCAAGACAAUACAAUUGAAAUGACAAUACUGAAGUGUGAGCACAACCUCGGUAGCAUGUUAUGAGAGGGUUAGAAAAUGAAAUAACAUUACUGAGGAUGAAACUACAAAACUCCAUUGUUUUUAAAACUCAUAAAUCCUUAUAGCUGAAUAGGGUUAAACAAAUUCAUCAAAAUCUCUAUCAUUCUUUUAUAGUAUCAAAUUUAAAUUAUUGUCCUAUUUUUAAGAUAACAAAUUAUUACUGUAAAAAAAGAUUAUAAAUUAUUAAAGAUAAAUUCAUAUAUAUAUAUAUAUAUAUAUAUAUAUAUAUAUAUAUAUAAUUAUAACCAAAUAACUAAAAUUAUUUUUUAUUAACAAAUCUUAUGAAAAAAAAUUAAUUCAAUGAGCUAGCUCACAAGCUAUUUCUGUCCGGCACACCCUAUUUCUUCAUUUGAAACAUUUUUUGUUUGAAUGGUUUAAAUUUAAAUAUGUUUUAAUUCUUGCUAAAAAAUUUAAUUUUGAUUUUUGUCCCUUUUCAAUUAUUGUUAACUUUUUGUCCUUAAUAAUUUUUUUUUUACUUUGGAUUUGUUUACAUAGGACUUUAGAAAAUGAAAUAAAAUUAUUUUUAAAGUUAUCUGAGAAAAAACAGAAAUAUUAUUAGAAACCAAAAAGUUAACAGAAAUUUAUCACAAAUAACAAAAACAAAAUUUAAAGAUUUAUCAAGAACUAAAAAUAUAUUUAAAACGGUUGUAACACAAAAGGAGAUGAAAAAUCAAUCAUUAUGCUAUUCUCCUUGAACAAGAGUUAUAAUUUCCAUCUAAUACUUCUUUUGGAUAUUGAAAUUAUUCGAUGAAACAACUUUAAAUUAAAUUUCAUAGAGCAACUCAGUCCAUACAAUGGAUUGUGUUUUACCUUGACAGUUGAAAAAAUGCAUUAAAAAGAAGGAUUUUCCGUGAAGGUUCAAGACAUUACAUGCAUGCUUAAUUUUAAAUGAUGAUGAUAUAUAUAGUAUAAGGUUAUUUGUUAUUUAUUUGAUGAGUUAACUUAAUAUUUAAUUCCAUCCACUCCACUACUUGCUAAAACUGACCACCCUCUUCCGAUUGACUCAAGGUUUACAAAAUUCGCUCCGUCAUGUUGUUCCAUUCCUAGAUGGUAUUUUAAAGGGAAAAAAUGGUUAAAUAAGGAUAUGACGUAUAAAAAUCAAAUAAAUCGAUCGUGUUUGCAGAAAAAAUGAGUUCCAAAGUCAAGUCAAUUUAAAUUGCAAUUGGGACAACAUUGAUAGUGUGAAAGGGUUAUAAAAUGUAUGUGUCAAUCUGCGUGAGGGAUGGGCUGUUAAGUGUUAAAGCUUAAUUUAGCCACAAAUUUUGCAUAUAGUGUUUUUAUUUUGCCUAUAAAUAUUAAUCUUUGGUUCGUGAUUCCUUGAUCUUUCAUGUAUAUUUUCUCUUAUAGUAAGGGCACGUAAACAGUUUUGGGUAGAAUAUGGAAUCAUGGAUGUGGUGUUUCCUUCUCUGUUCCCAUUUGCUCAUCCUUUAUUUUUCACCCUCUCAUUCCUUAUGCCACCCCCAUGACAGCUUUGCCUUGCUGCAGUUCAAAAACUCCUUCACUAUUAAUACUAGUUAUGACCAUUAUGAAUAUCCUUAUUAUUAUCAUAAAUGUGAUACUGGUUAUUCAAAAACGACAACAUGGGAAAUUGGAGGAGAUUGUUGCUCUUGGGCUGGAGUCACCUGCCACCCCAUCUCAGGCCACGUCACUCAGCUCGACCUCAGCUGCAGUGGCCUUGUCGGUAAUAUUCAUUCAAACAGUACGCUUUUCCAUCUUUCUCAUCUUCACUCACUCAACCUUGCUUUCAAUCAUUUUAAUCAUUCUCAUUUGUCAUCUCUCUUUGGUGGGUUUGUGAGCCUCACUCAUCUCAACUUGUCUUCUUCUGACUUUGAAGGGGAUAUUCCUUCCCAAAUCUCUCACCUUUCCAAAUUAGUCUCACUUGAUCUCUCAUAUAAUAUGUUAAAGUGGAAGGAAGACACUUGGAAGAGAUUGCUCCAAAAUGCAACAGUUUUAAGGGUGCUUCUUUUGGACGAAACAGAUAUGUCUUCCACUUCAAUCAGGACACUCAAUAUGUCUUCCUCUUUGGUUACUCUUAGUUUGAGAUGGACUUGGCUAAGAGGAAAGUUGACCGAUGGCAUUCUCUGUUUACCAAAUCUACAGCACCUAGAUCUUGCAUAUAAUUGGGACAUUCAAGGCCAGCUUCCAAAAGUGAGUUGCAGCACAGCUUCUCUUGGUUUCUUAGAUCUUUCAGGUUGUGGUUUGCAAGGGUCAAUCCCUCCCUCUUUCUCCAACCUCACACUUCUCACUUCCCUGGACCUCUCAAGUAACCACCUCAACGGUUCAAUCCCAUCCUCACUCUUAAUCCUUCCACGGCUAACCUUUCUGAAUCUAAACAAUAACCAACUCAGUGGUCAAAUCCCAGAUGUCUUUCAUCAGUCAAACAACUUUCACGAAUUGGAUUUGAGUAAUAACAAAAUAGAGGCUGAGCUGCCAUCAACGCUUUCAAAUCUUCAACAUCUCAUUCUCUUGGAUCUUUCACAUAAUAAAUUUAUUGGUCAAAUCCCAGAUGUGUUUGCCAGGCUAAACAAAUUGAAUACUCUCUAUCUUGGGGGAAACAAUUUUGGAGGACAAAUCCCAUCUUCAUUGUUUGGCUUAACUCAACUUUCUGAGUUGGAUUGUUCUAAUAAUAAAUUGGAGGGCCCUCUGCCUAACAAUAUCACAGGGUUUUCAAGCUUAACAUGGUUAAGGUUAUAUGGCAACUUACUGAAUGGGACAAUUCCAUCUUGGUGUUUAUCUUUGCCAUCUUUGACGACUUUAGAUCUAUCGGGAAACCAGUUCACAGGGCUGCCAGUGCAUCUAAGUACAAUCUCAUCAUAUUCCUUGGGGAUUCUAUAUUUGUCCUACAAUAAGCUGCAGGGAAACAUUCCAGAAUCAAUUUUCAGCCUUGUAAACCUUACUCUCUUAGAUCUAUCAUCAAAUAAUUUCAGUGGGUCUGUCCACUUUCGACUUUUCUCCAAGCUUCAAAUUUUGGAAAACCUUGACCUUUCACAGAAUGAUCAAUUAUCACUAAAUUUCAAAUCCAAUGUCAAUUAUAGUUUCUCCAGCUUAAGGAGUUUGGACUUAUCUUCUAUGGAUUUAACUGAAUUUCCGAAAUUAUCUGGAAAAGUCCCAAAUUUAAUGUUUAUCUAUUUGUCCAACAACAAACUUAAAGGUAGAGUGCCAAAUUGGUUGAAUGAAACGAGGUCGUGGUUACAUGAAUUGGACCUCUCUCAUAACCUAUUGACACAAUCAUGGGACCAAUUCUCAUGGAACCAACGACUCAAUUACCUUGAUCUUAGUUUUAACUCAAUCACUGGUGGCUUCUCUUCCUCAAUUUGCAAUUCAGAUGCUCAACUUGUCUCACAACAGGUUGACUGGAACCAUUCCACAAUGCCUUGCUAACUCAUCAUCCCUUCAAGUUUUGGAUCUACAACUGAACAAGCUUCAUGGCACUUUACCAAGCACCUUUCCAAAGGACUGUGGGCUCAGAACUCUGGAUCUCAAUGGCAACCAAUUAUUAGAAGGCUUUUUGCCAGAAUCUUUGUCCAAUUGCAUUGAUCUGGAGGUUUUAGAUCUUGGAAACAAUCAAAUAAAGGAUGUGUUUCCCCAUUGGCUUCAAACUCUACAAUAUUUGGAAGUAUUGGUUUUGAGAGCCAACAAGUUGUACGGUCCCAUUGCCUGUUUAAAGACCAAACACGGAUUCCCCAGUUUAGUCAUUUUUUAUGUCUCUUCCAACAACUUCAGCGGCCCAAUACCAAAAGCCUACAUUAAAAAAUUUGAAGCCAUGAAGAACGUUGUUCUAGAUGCCUAUAGCCAAUACAUGGAAGUAUAUAUUCAUUUGGGAUUAAAAUUAUAAUUAAAAAUUAUCUAAAAGAUUAAAUUUAUUAUAAUUUUAAAUUGUUCACAACAUAUAAAUAUUUACACUUGUUAAAUUAUUCUAUAAUUUCUCUUAAAUUAUUUUAAUGAAAAGCAAUAGUAAAAUAGUAGGAGCUUAAUCUAAGUUAUGCUAAGUAAAUAUUAGGUAAAAUUGGUAAGAGUGUGAGAAACAUAAUUAUUUAUCACUAUCAUCUCAUAAUGAGAAAAAUACAUCAUUAAAAAAAUACAAAAGAUAAUAAAUUUGUUUAAUAUGGUAGUGACAUUUUAUUCACACCGGAUAUAUUUUAUGGACAACCUAGACAAACUUACAAACAUUUCCUCCUAAUCAUUCUCCUCUCUUUAUUAGGGUAGUGACAUUUCCUUCACACUAGAUGCGGUGAUUCUUUUCAUCUCAAAAAACCUACAAACAUUGCCUCCUAACAAUUCCCCUCUUGUAUUCUUGUUCUACAAGACACUUCUAAGGUGUUCUUAGAGUAUAAAAUUAGGGUCUAACUCAACCCCAAAAACUAACUCAUAGGAUGAGAGUUGUCCUCAUCUUAUAUACUCUAUCUUGACACUAUCUCUAGUCAAUGUGGGACUUGAGUUUUUUUUCAAUUCUUAAAAGUCCUCCUCCUACCAGUAAAAUAAUAACAAACCUAAACAUUCAAAAUUAUGUUAAUUAAUAAAUUUCAUCGCUGUAUAUAUUUUAUAUAAAAAAAUUAAUUAACCUAUAUAUAUAAUUUUUUAAAGAAAAUAUGAGUGGGAAACCAUUAUUGUUUCAUUUGAUACUGCCAUGUUAAUCAAUCAUGUCUAAUAAAUAAUUUCUCCGAUUUCUAUUAAAAAAUUUAUUUCAUAUUUAUUAAAAGAUUAAUUAAUUUUAUUAAAUUGUAUUAAUCUCAAAAUAAAUUUUUUUUUUCUUUAUGAAAAAGUUAAAUUAAUAGAGGAUGGGAUUGGAUUUUGGAAAUAAAGGGCUUACAUACAAGUACCUAGCUAGGUACAGUUUAGUUUGUGGCCUUAAACUGAUCUGUUUUGGUUCUACCUUUCCUCUUGUGCAAUUAAAAAUUCUUCUAGCAUCCAUUCACAAGUUUUUUAUUCAAUAGUAUUUGACGUUGUUGAGAGUCUUUUUGUACUCUAGAAUUAACUAUGCCAUUGACAAUGGAUAAUUCUGUCAAGCAUGCUAUAUUGUUAAGAAAAAUACUUUUCUCCUUGUAAUUUGUUCAAUUUUACAAAUAUACGUAUAUCAAAUUUUGAUGGUGGUCUCAUUAUUUUGCCUCUAUUCCUUAUCUGCUUCCCUCACUUGGAAAAGUAAAAUGGUAUCAACAUAUUUUUUAUUGUAUUUUUAUAUUCUUUUGAAAUAAAUUUACUUUAGAGGAGUGUUUGGACCAGAUACCAUACAAACCAAUUAAAAAAUUUAAAUGCACGGUGUCUUUUUUAAUUUUGAUUUUGUGGCAUUUUUCCUCUAGAUUUGAUUGGUAUUUUUGAAACAUGUUGGCGAUUAGCUGACUUGUAAAGUCAACGAACCCUAGUGUGAAAAAAUAAUACGGUGAAGACAGUUUUUCAACAACUAAUUGUAUCAGCGAGAGUUUCCUUUAAUCUUCUUUUGAUGUGAUUAGAGUGUCUAAUUUUCUAACCCAUAUUUUAAAGGUUGGAAGACUCAGAAAACAACUGUUUGGUUCAACUAAAUUGGUUUAUACAUGUUUUGUUUUCUGAAUGAUAUGUAGCAUGCUUUCUGCGGUAGAAAACUAAGUCAGUCAAUCACAUGAGACAAAAAAUGAAAUAGUCCAAUAUAUGGCUUCAAGUUGUUGGUCUUUGUAUAUGUAUAGAUUGUUUUCCUUUGGAUCACCUCCAUUAUUAUUAUUUUCAUCAUCACCGUUAUAAUACCUUGCUACAUUAAACAUUAUUCAUAGUAAAAAAAAUUGUUUUAAUUAUCUUCAAAAGAAUUCAUGAUCAAACAAAAUAUUUAAUAAACUUAUUUAAAAAUGAUGGAUUGGUAAAAGCGAUGUAAAAGUAUAAAUUAUUAUAUAGAGAAUUAUCUUCCAAUUGGGGGGCGGGACCUAGGAUUUAUCUAGACAUAGCUUUCCAACUCUUAACAACUAAAACUUCUAGACACAAGCUCGAUUAGAAAAUCAACAGUACAUACACCUCAACUCAUGACAAAAACUCUUAUAUUCCAUAGAUAAACUUAAAUUUCUCAAUUUAGGUAAGAUUUAAUCAAAUUCAUGACUCAAUUCAAUUAUAUUUUAAUGGAUUAAUUUGGGUCAACUGCCGUAACAAUUUUUUUUUAAAACCUAAUAUUUUGUAGAAAUUAAAUUUUUUAUUAAAUAAAUUAAAUAUAAUUGUUUCUUAUUAUAUUUUAUUGAAAAGAAAUUUUUUAAUGUUACGGCACCUUAUUCCACUAACUCCUAUUUAUUCAAGGGAAUUGGGAAAUUAAACAUAUCAUAUGACAAGCUCUUUUUAAGGUGUAGCUUUAUUGGAAGAUCUUAUAAAUAGGAGAAAAAGUAAACUAUGCUGGAAAAAAAUGUUAAGCAAUGAAGUAGAAAUUAAAGAAAAACAAAAAGAAAUAUUGAAUAAAAUUGUAUUGUUUAUAAUUUUUUACGUUAUCUUAUUGUUUCUGCUUUCUGCAAUACUUUUUAUUUAAUGUCCCAAGAGUACUAGUAGUUAACAAGACACUUCUUGUAAAUAAGAAGUCAUAUAAUAGAGAACUAGAAUAAGUUGAAUUUGGAUAAUAAUUUGAGUAUUCUCUUCAUUGUGAGAGUUGUUCUUCUUUAAUAACUUUGAUUCUAUUAACAUAUUGCGGUUAUGAUCAAAUUCUACUUGUUCAUCUUGCAUGAAUUUAACAUGAUCCUAUAAAUCGAUUCGUAUUAUUGUUUAUCAGACAAUAUAAUUAAUUGUUAGUACAGUGACCUGUGAGCACAUCUAUUUGUAUACAUACGGUAUAGAUAAACUAUUGGUUUUCUCAAUUUGAGCACAAAUCUCUUAAUAUAAUUUUUGUUCAUUUCUAAUAUUUUACAAAAAUAUUGAUGUAACCGUCUUGCCAUCUCUAUUUUAAAUUUGGCAAUAACAAAUUAAACUAAAAUAAAAUCAAAUUUCAAAUUUGGGAAUAACACAUUAUCUAAUAGUGACCUCCAAAUCAAUUUCGAUGGCAAUGUUGUAACAACCUUAAUAACUUCUUUGACAUAUCUGCGUUCCUUCUUUGCAUAAAUUGACUUCCAAGUCAAUGCAAAACAAAAGACACUGUAACAACGUUUUGCAUGGGUAGAAAAUGGGAAACUGUGUGUCAGAACUCUUUUGCUAAAGAAACCUCUACUCGCCCAUAACACGCUUUCUAUCCCUCUCAUUCUCUCCAUAGAUGAUAUUUGCUUUGUCUUUUACUAAUAAAUAAGUAAAUUAUAAUCACCCCAUUAACAAAUUAAUUUUUUUAGUAAUCCAUUAACAAACUCAUUUGCAGGAUUUCUUUGGCUAAUUUAUGCGAUUAUGAUUUCAAAACUUUUUGGGAUACAAAUACCGAUUAUGCAUGUAAGUUCUAAAAGAUAAAAACUAUAUAACUCUAUUACUAUAAUAAAGGUUCAUUCUUUUUUAAUUGACAAAUUAUUUAGUUUAUUAAUUUAAUUUAUUCAGUGCUAUUUAAUUUCAGUCAGCUAGCUACUUGCUAAAAUUGAUUAUCCGCCUUCACUCAAGUCUGAAGGUUUACAAAUUACAAAAUGCAUUUUAAAGAGAAAAAUUAAAACGAUAAAAUAGAAAUAUGAAGUAGAAAAAUAAAAUAAAUCAUGUUUGCAAAGAAUUCCAAAUUAAUUCAAAUGAAAAUACUGGGCACGACCGAGAAAUAACGUAAUGAAAGGGUUGGGAAAUGAAUGUUGGUUUACGUGUGAGAUGGGUUGUUGAAGUGUAUGCUCCUUGGGUGUUAACAAAAUUAAUUUUAAAUGUAAUUGAUUUUAUAAAAUUGAUUUUGAAGUGAUUUAUGUUGGUAUGUUUUAUUAUAAAAUUACUGGAAGUGACAAAGAUGAGACCGAUACCGAAGGGUGAAGACCAAAGAUGGCCAUAUGCACUACUUAGUAUAAUGGUUGGUGUAAUAGCAACUUCCACGAAUAUGUGCAAUUGUGCAUGUUUGGUUUUAAGAUUAAAAUGUAUUUUUGAAAUAAAAAUAAUUUUAUUAAAGGAUCAAAAAUCUUAUUUUUUUUUCUUUGAUUUUAUUUUUAUUCAUUAAAUUUUUAGUAUAAUAUGCAAAACAUUUCUAACUUAAUUAACCGAAACAAGAGCCUCUAGGCUCUAGAAUCUCAUUUUUCUGCCUUCAAAAUAGACGGUUCCAUUCCAAUAGUUAUAAAUUAUGAAGAGUACUUCUAUGAUGUGAUGUUUUCUUUUUAUUGUAAUAUUAAUGUAAAUUAUCUGUGAGUUUAAACCACAAUUAAUUUUUAAUGAUAAUAAAUUUAACUGAUUAUUUUUAAUAUAAUUUUUUAAAAACUGUUUUCGUUCUCUAAAUUUAAACUUAGGAACUUAAUUACAAAAUUCGAACAUAAUGUCAUUCAAAUUAAUGAUUCAUAUCUGAGAAGAAUAAAAAUAACAACUAGUUGUUCGGUAAUUUGCACUCUUACGAUGGUGGGUUAUUAUUGUACAAAUUUCUGAAACCAAUUAAUAGAAACUCGGGCUUAACCAUAUGUGCCGGUCAAUAUAUAACAUCCAUUUAUUUAAUUGAUUAAGAAAUCAUUGACAUAAACACGAUAUGGCUAGGAACCUUCAAUAUGCAUGACGCAAUGUAUGACAGGGAUCUUAUAGUAUUAUUGACCAUAAUCCUCUUGUUCGGACGCGGAAAGAAAAUUAUAUGAAAAAUAAGAAUAAAAGAAACCCUAUUCAUGAGUCAUGAGGAAAAUAUUUUUCUAAUGCAAAUACAAAUGUUUUCUUUUAACUUUUUUAAUGUAUUUCUCAUGUACACGUCCGCCAGUAAUUGUAGGUGUCAAAAUUUAUGUAUAUCUUGAAAUAUUUCCAUGGACAUCAAUCUUUUUUUUUUCCUUUUCUUUAUUUACCAAUAAUAUUAUAUCCCUCGCAAUGGUUGUUUUCCAAUUAAAAGAAAAUUCAAAUAAAUAGAGCAAUUUCUAGUAAGACUUUUUUUGAAAAAAAAAUUCAAAAACUACAUGUAUCAUCUAUUAAUUACAAAUAAUUCUCAUCAAAUUAAAUAAGAUUAUUAUGAACUAUAAAUUUUUUUUCCUUGAAAGUUUUAAUGUUGUUGCAUACUAAGACUCAAAUUCAAUAUCAUGAGUAAAUUAGAAUAACUUCAUGUUGUUCGGUGGUUUAGAAAAGCUUUGAUGGACAAGUGAUUCCUAUUUAUACAUCUUGUUUUAUUUUAUGUCAUAAAUUUAAAUAGGAGGAACUAGCUAAUAUAAAACAAAAAAAUAAGAAUAAAAAAAUGUGUUCAAUCGCCUCUAUGAGCACUUUAAUCUUUUGCACAACAUUGAUAAAUAUGCUGUUGUAAACCUAGAAUAAGAUAUGCUUGAUGCAUGACUUGCUAGAUUCAAUCUCAUGCAUCACCAUUCACAUUAUAUGAUUGGUCACUACUCCCCAAGCCGAUGUUACUUCUUCAAUUGUAGUGGUCACGCUGGGUUCUGUUUCUAUUCCUGCGAUUAUUUCAGUUAAAGUGCUACCUAGGUUCUUCUAUUUCCCGGAUGUUGUUUCUUCUAGGGGGUUCCAGCCAUCUAUUAUAUUUGGCAAGUGUGUUAUGCCUUGGGAGCGCUAACUCUGUUAAAUGUUGCAUGCACCUCUUUGUGCUAUUUCAAUGAUAUUCUUUUGGCUGUUUCAGAAAAAAAAUAAAAAUAACAAGGAAGAAAGUUUAUUUCUGCAUUUGCAUUGCAUUGAUCCUCUAAUUAAUUAGGUUUCUCAAAAUCUAUGCAUGUAUAACACUCCCAUAUAUAUUGUGAGGGAAAUAAAAUAAAAAAGAAAGUUGAAAUUAAGAAAAGACUACAAUAUUAGCUCGUUCUCGAUCUCUCCAUACAUAUAUAAUAUUCUCGUUUAGUCACAAGUCACACGCACAACACUAUACUACUUAGACUCUACAAAUCAAAAUCUGAUAUCUCAGUCUCAGCUUAUAUAAAUAUGAUACUUAGACUUGAAGAACAUCCAAAGCUGUCAAGCCAUACAGAACGAUACAAAAUUACAAUAAAUUAAGUAUAAUUGAAUAUACACACCUAGUGCCUUUGGAUCUUGGAAUUCUACUACCUAUGUGACAUCAGUUACAGUGUAAGAAUCCAUUUGGAGGUCUAAGUUCACAUUAAUUUAUAAACGUACGUUUCAAUUUUUUAUAUUAAAAUUUUUAAUCAUUUAAAAUUAAAUAUUUUUUAAUUAUAAAUUAUUAGCAGGCAGGGAUAUACUCCCGUGUUGUCAAUGUUGGGCAGAACUCACACACACAUAAAAUAAGAUUUCAUUUUUUUCAAUUAUGUAGACGUUUCUUUCAACCGUAGUUUGUUUACUCUUGAAUUUCGAGAAGAAAAAUGCACACCUUUUCCUACUCCUAAAUACUUUUAUAAAGAGAGAAUUGGCCACUUUACGCGUAAUGGGUCAUAAUUCAUACGAACUUUGGUUCGUUAAAUCUAAUAAUUAUUCUUAGACUUUGUUAGUCAUAUUGCUUCAGUCAUAGAAAAUUAGGUUUCAGUGGUCUUUUCCUCAAAGAUUGAUGAAUAAUAAUACACUUAUGAUUAAUUUGAUUGGUUUUUUCCUCCCAAAUACUUCUUUGUAAUAAUACAUACACAACCUUUCAUAAUUAAGGGAAGAUGAUUCAUACAGAAACUUAUUGAAUUUCCUUGUAUCUAUUAUUUAAUUAUUAACUUACAUAUUCAUUUGUCAAAGAAGAGGGAUCCGCGAAAAGGAAAGAUACAAAUAAUCAAAUAAAACGACAAAUGUUUCUUAUGAGUGUAGACAAGUUAUGCUAUUCUCAAUCUGUUAAUUUACAACUACGUAAGUAAAUUUAACAUUAUAUUUUAAUUCAAAAUUUUAAAAUUCAUGUUUAUGAGUUUUGUUUCUCACUUAUAUGAUAUUUAAUUUUUCUACUUUUACUCAAUGUGAAAUUUCAUCAUACUUAUACUCCAACAAUGUGAAAUACUUGAUUUGAACUACUAUAAGAUUUGAGAAAGGAUUCACACAAAUCGUAACAAUAAUUCCCUUUUAAAGAGUUUGAUAAUUACUUAAGUUUUGUGAGAACGCAGGAAGAAUUAAUCUUAGUCGUAUGGAAUGUAUGGUAGGUAAGAAAUGAUGAAAAAAUAGGAGAAGAGGGAGAAGAAAUAACAGAGUUUUUUGAAAAAUAAAAAUAGCAGGGUUGUUUGGUUGUAAAAAAUACGUGAAAAGGAAAUUGUUGAAAAGGUUGAUGUCCACACAUUUUUAUUUCCUCACAAAAGUGAGCCAAAAUAACAGUGGGUGGAUUAUAUGUUAAUAUUUUGUGGUGGUUUAAAAUUAUACUAAAGUAUGAAUUUAUUAAUUACUUUGAUACUUUGAUGACUGUUAUUUUUCUAGUGGUUAGAAAUUAUAAAAAAAAAACAUUUAGUGACUUUUUUUUGUCACAAACAUUUUAAUUAUUUUUUUAAACAAAAAAAUUAAAAGUGAUUGAAAUGCAAAUUUAACAAAUUAAAAAGCUAUUUUAAUCUAUUAAAAUACAAAUUUUGAUAGAUUAUAAGUAAUUUUUUUCUCUUUCUUAUUUCUUUUAAAUCAAAUGCUUUUUUUUUAAAUCCAAUAUAUUUUUGAUCUAUUUUUAUUCAUUUAUUUAUCUCUUCCCUAUUUUCAUCUAUCAUGCUUCUCAACUAUUUCAUUAUUUCUUAUCAAUCACACCGCUAAUUAAUUAAAUCUAAUUUCAAUCAUUUAUCUUAAAUGUAUAGCCAAGAAUUAUUGGUCUCAUCUCUGAGCUAGACACAUCACACACAUUAAGUAUAUAAAAUAUCAUAUGCUAGUUGUUAACUCAAUGAUAAUUGCACUUUUCAGGUAAAGUCUUCGAAAGGUCUAAGUGUUAAAUCCAUAAGAACUUUAUUUAUACUUAUAUUAAUACAAACUUAUUUUAUAAGUAAAGAGAUAAAAAAUUUAAAAUAACACAUCAAGAAAGAUAGGAGAUAAGAUAAGGAUUUAAAAGAGAAGAUAAAAGAUUUAAAGAUAAAAAUAGAAAAGAUAAAAGAUGAUAAAGAUAAAAAAAUAGAAAAUAAGAUUAAAAAAAAGAUAAGAUAAGAAAAGUAAAAGAUGAGAAAAAUAAAAGAUAAAGAUGAAGAUAAAGAAAAAUAAAUUCAGAAUAUGAUAAUGUUGAAACCUAACCUGCCUUAUUUACCCAAGAUAUAUUAUUUUAGAUUUUCUCUAUCAAUUUGUUAAUUUUUUUUCCUAUCCACGUCUAUUAGAAUAUUUUCCGCUAAUGUCUCACGAUGACAAACUUAUCUUACCAAUUUAUGUCCCAAAUGUGUUUGCAAAGACUCAAUAGAUAAAAUGGAUGAAGUUUUAAUUCUAUAUGUUUUCUUUGAUGCAUUAACACAAUACAAUCACUCUAUGUCUAGCAAUGAUUCCUUUCUUUUAGUUCUAUUAGAAAUUAUCAUCUAUCAAGUGACUACUCCCUAAAACGAAUACAUGUAAGAUCUUUUUUGUAUUUCUAUUAAGGAUUAUUCUCUGUUGAACACUUAACCCUUAAAAAUGAUGUAAUAAUAAAUUAUACAUGAAAUUAAAAUAAGAAAGGAUAAUAGGAAAGAAAACAUUUGUUUGCAAUGAUAAAUAUGAAACAUACAAUACAUCUUUUUACUUUUUUUUAGGUCAGUCAGGUCCUAACUAAGAGUUUAAUUUCUCAUAAACAUAAAGAGUCUUACACUUAAAAAGGGAUAUAGAAACAGGUUUAGAAGAAGUGAUGAAAAAAGGACAUAAAAAAAAAAGAUUUCCCCUAGAGAUAUCAUAUGAUGUAUUCAUUAAAGAUCUCUAAGUGUCAGGGUUGCUAUCUUCCCUCCUUGGUUUGAUUCCCUUUUUAGUGUUGGUGUGGAUUUGGACCCGAUGCCAAAAAGUCUUCCUCAUCCAUAUUUUUUUUUAUAUUUUCUAGAUCGUUUUCGCUUUUAAUUUCUCAUUUUCAUAUCUACGAAUCAUAAAUAAGAAAAGUAUCAAUUCUUAACAUUUAAACCAAAAAUAACUACUAAAUAAACUUUAUUUUUGUAGUUGUUGGUGUGGAUUUGGGCAUAAUGCCAAAAAUAUUUCUUAUCUAUAUUUUUGAUAUUUUCUAGAUCUAUUUCGUUUUUAAUCUCUCCUCAUAUAUGCAUACCAUAAAUCAGAAAAAUAUUAAUUUUUAACAUUUAAGACAAAAAUAACAGCUAAAUAAAUAUUUUAAAGAUAUUUUCAAUAUAUUUUUAUGAUAAAAAAUAAUUCAUAUUUAAUGGUUACCAGUAAUUAAUUAUGUAUUUACUUUAAUUUGAAGUAAUAUACAAAGUUUAUGUCACCCAUGAUAAGCUUGAAAGCUAUUUUAGUAUAAUAAUUAAGAUAGUUGUAGUUGCAAUUAUAGAUAAGAUUUAAUUUUAACGCAUUGUUAGUAUAACUUUUUAUUACACAUUCAUCUUAUCAUUUGCAAAUCAAUCAUGAAAUUUGAAUCGAGCAGUAUAUUUCAUUACAUAAUUUCAUAAUAGGGUGAAAAACUUAUUUGACAAUGCAUUUUUUUUUCAGAUCACAUACGUACAGGUAUCUUUUAUGACAAAUAAUAUAACUAAUGGGUGACAGAUUUUUUUGAAAUAUUAAUCAAAGUCGAGACCACUCUUAUUAUGCUAGAACACCUCGCGCCAUUUCAUUCAUAUGUUCCGUUGUGACACUCCAUCAAGUUUAAAUUACAAUGUAUCACUCUAGGUUUAAUUUAUUUUAUAUUUUCAAAGAUUGGAUUCUUUAAGGGCAUUAUUAUGAAAAAAAAUUAUAACAUUUUUUUAUAAUUAUGAGAUAGGAAGAGAAGAGAGAAAAAUAAGAUAAGUAAUUAUAUAAAAAAGAAAAAAUAGGUUUAGUUCUAUUUUUUAAUUCUUAAAAUUUAAGGUAGACCUAGUGCCAUACAGAACGAUACAAAAUUACAAUAAAUUAAGUAUAAUUGCAUAUACACAACUAGUGCCUUUGGAUCUUGGAAUUCUACUACCUAUGUGACAUCAGUUACAGUGUAAGAAUCCAUUUGGAGGUCUAAGUUCACAUUAAUUUAUAAACGUUUCAAUUUUUAUAUUAAAAUUUUUAAUCAUUUAAAAUUAAAUAUUUUUUAAUUAUAAAUUAUUAGCAGGCAGGGAUAUAUUCCCGUGUUGUCAAUGUUGGGCAGAACUCACACACAUAAAAUAAGAUUUCAUUUUUUUCAAUUAUGUAGACGUUUCUUUCAACCUUACUCUUGAAUUUCGAGAAGAAAAAUGGACACCUUUUCCUACUCCUAAAUGCUUUUAUAAAGAGAGAAUUGACAACUUUACGCGUAAUAGACCAUAAUUCAUAGGAACUUUGGUUCGUUCACUACUUAAAAAAAGACCUUUUACUUCAGUUAAAAAUAAUGUUCAAUAACAAUGAAGACCCAUCUUUAAUUACGAUGUCAUUGUAGACCUCAUUCUUAUCUACGGUCGCCAAAACACCAUUUUAGAAAGCGUUGAUUUCUAAGUCAGUGCUUACAUCAGCGUUGACAUAGAAAUACGUGCUUUCUACGUCGAUUGUAGCGUAAGUACCAACUUAAAAUUCUAUUAUUUCUACGAUGAGAUUGAUGUCAUGACUGUUCUUAAAAGUUUGUUUUAAGACUUGAUUGCGAUUAGCUGAUAUAUAAAAUUAUAUGAUUUAUGAUUUUUUUUACCUUAUCUUAUUAUUUCUAUAAUACUUUUAUUUUAAUUCUUUAAUUAAUGUCCUAAGGGUACAGUUAACAAGACACUUCUUAUUCUUAUAAAUAAAAAGUCAUGUAAUAGAGAACUAAAAUAAGUUGAAUUUGGAUAAUAAUUUGAGUAUUCUCAACAUUGUGAGAGUUCUUUUUCUUUAAUAACUUCGAUUCUAUUAACCUAUUGCCGUUAGGAUCAAAUUUUACUUGUUCAUUUUGCAUGAAUUUAACAUGAUCCUAUAAGUCGAUUCAUAUUAUUGUUUAUAAGACAAUAUAGUUAAUUGUUACAGUAGUUUCCUGUGAGCACAUCUAUUUGUACAUAUAGUUAAUUGUUAACAAAGAUUAUAUUAGGAGAUUUGUGCUCAAAUUGAGCACAAAUCACCUAAUAUAAUCUUUGUUCAUUUCUAAUAUUUUACAAAAAUAUUGAUGUAACCGUAUUGCCAUCUCUAUUUCCGUUAAAUAUUGAAUAUCAAAUUAACUUGUUUGACAUAUCUGCAUUCCUUCUUUGCAUAAAUUGACUUCCAAGUCAAUGCAAAACAAAAGACACUACAUGCUGCAACGUUUUGCGUGGGGUAGAAAAUGGGAAACUUUUUGGGAUACAAAUACCAAUUAUAUAUGUAAGUUCUAAAAGAUAGAAAAUAUAUAACUCUAUUACUAUAAUAAAGAUGCAUUCUUUUUUAAUUGACAAAUUAAUUUAUUCAAUGCUAUUUAAUUUCAGUCAACUACUUGCUAAAACUAAUUAUCCGCCUUCAUGAAGUCUGAAGGUUUACAAACUACAAAAUGCAUUUUAAAGAGAAAAAUUAAAAUGAUAAAAUAGAUAUAUGAAGUAGAAAAAUCAAAUAAAUCGUGUUUACAAAUGUAAUGAAAAGGGUUAAAAAAUAAAUGUUGGUUUGCGUGAGGGAUAGAUUGUUGAAGUGUAAGCUGGCUUGGGUGUUAACAAAAUUAAUUUUAAAUGUAAUUAAUUUUGGAGUGACGUGAUUUAUGUUUUUAUACAAUUAAAUUAAGAAUAAAAUUUAUUAUUAAAUUUUAGAUCUAAUACAGAAAAUAUUUAAAGAUGUUUCAACUUAGAAUCAAUUAUGACAUUAGAAUCAAUUUUACAUUUUUUUAAAUGUGAAAUCAAACAUAUAAAAAUAUAUUUAAAAUUAAUUAUGAAUUCAAAAUCAAUUUUCCAACCUUGAAUCCAACGUGCAAGAAGUCUCAAAACUGUUGAUUAAGGAUAAGUUUUUUUUUUCAAAUUUAUCAUUUGGAGAUAAAAUUUAAGUUGAUAUUCCAAAAGGGAUAGAUUAUAAUAAGUGAUGCAACUUCUAAAUUAAAAGUGGUGACAUAAGUUAUGACUUCUUUUAUUUUUUACAUUAAAGUCGUAAGAAAAUUUAUGGCCUUCAUUUUUAUUAUUUUAAAUAUAAUUUUAAAGUGGUAAAAUUUGUUUUACAUAGACUUUAAAGUCAUAAACUUCUUUUUAUUAAAAUCGUAAAUUAUUUUAUGACUUCAAUUUAUUUUGCACCUAACGUAUUUUUUAAAAUCAUAAAUAAUUUUUUAUUUGUUAUUUAAUAAAUUAAUGUUUUUUAGUUUUAUUUAAUAUUUGCAUAUGAUUUUAUUUAAUAUUUUUGUAUUUUUUUAUUUUAUUUUAUUUAAUAUAUUUAAUAAUUUUUAAUGAUGUUAAGAAUUAUUAUUUAUUUUUUAAAUUAAAAAAUAAUAAAAAAUACCUAAUUUUAAAUAUAAAAAAAUCAAAAUGUACUACAUAUUUCUACUACAUAGAAAAUACCUAGGUAAGUGGGCACCGGUUACUAUUUGUCAUUUUAUUUGUAUGUGUUAUUCGUUACUUAUUGCUAAAGCUUAUCAUCCUCAUCCGAUUCACUCAAGGUGUACAAAAUGCUCUCUGUAAUGUGAUUUCACUUAUAGUUGGUAUUCUAAAUGAAAUAAAAUAAAGAUAUAAAGUAGGAAAAUCAAAUAAAUCAUGUUUGCCGAAAAUGUGUUCCGAGUGAAUUAAUUAGAAUGGCGUGAUGAGAGGAUUGGAAAAUGAAUGUUGGUUUUUGAGUGAUGGAUGGGUUGUUGAAGUCUCCAAGCUGCUGGGACCGCUGCCAAUGCUUAAUUUUGCAUAUAGUGUUUUUAAUUUGACUAUAAAUAUUAAUGUUUGGUUCCUUAGUAUUUCAUGUAUAUUUUCUCUUAUAGUAAAGAGUAUUUGAGUAGAAUAAUAUGGAAUCAUGGAUGUGGUGUUUCCUUCUCUGUUCCCAUUUGCUCAUCCUUUAUUUUUCACCCUCUCAUUCCUUAUGCCACCCCCAUGACACCUCUGCCUUGCUCCACUUCAAAAACUCCUCCAUUAUUGAUGAAGAUCCUUAUUAUUAUUCAAAGACGAGAACAUGGGAAAAUGGGACAGAUUGUUGCUCUUGGGCUGGAGUCACCUGCCACCCCAUCUCUGGUCACGUCACUGAGCUCGACCUCAGCUGCAGUGGCAUUGUCGGUUAUAUCGAUCCAAACAGUACGCUUUUCCAUCUUUCUCAUCUUCACUCACUCAACCUUGCUUUCAAUUAUUUUGAUGAAUCUCCAUUGUCAUCUCUCUUUGGUGGGUUUGUGAGUCUCACGCAUCUCAACUUGUCUAAUUCUGAAUUUGAAGGGGAUAUUCCUUCCCAAAUCUCUCACCUUUUCAAAUUAGUCUCACUUGAUCUCUCAUAUAAUUUUUUAAAGUUGAAGGAAGACACUUGGAAGAGAUUGCUCCAAAAUGCAACAGUUUUAAGGGUGCUUCUUUUGAAUGAUGGAACAGAUAUGUCUUCCGUUUCAAUCAGGACACUCAAUAUGUCUUCCUCUUUGGUUACUCUUAGUUUGGGAUGGACAUGGCUAAGAGGAAACUUGACAGAUGGCAUUCUCUGUUUACCAAAUCUUCAGCACUUGGAUCUUUCAUUUAAUCCGGCCCUUAACGGUCAGCUUCCAGAAGUGAGUUAUAGAACAACUUCUCUUGAUUUCUUAGAUCUUUCACAUUGUGGUUUCCAAGGGUCAAUCCCUCCAUCUUUCUCCAACCUCACACAUCUCACUUCCUUGUAUCUCUCUCAUAACAAACUCAACGGUUCAAUCCCCCCCUCUUUCUCUAACCUCACACAUCUUACUUCCCUAUAUCUCUCACAUAACGACCUCAACGGUUCAAUCCCUCCCUCUUUCUCUAAUCUCACACAUCUUACUUCCCUGUAUCUCUCACAUAACGACCUCAAUGGUUCAAUCCCUCCCUCUUUCUCUAACCUCACACAUCUUACUUCCAUGGAUCUCUCAUACAACAGCCUCAACGGUUCAGUCCCAUCCUCACUCUUAACCCUUCCACGACUAACCUUUCUGAAUCUAGACAAUAACCACCUCAGUGGUCAAAUCCCAAACGCCUUUCCUCAGUCAAACAACUUUCACGAAUUGCAUUUGAGUUAUAACAAAAUAGAGGGUGAGCUGCCAUCAACAUUUUCAAAUCUUCAACAUCUCAUUCACCUGGAUCUUUCACAUAAUAAAUUUAUUGGUCAAAUCCCAGAUGUGUUUGCCAGGCUAAACAAAUUGAAUACUCUCAAUCUUGAGGGAAACAAUUUUGGAGGCCCGAUCCCAUCUUCGUUAUUUGGCUCAACUCAACUUUCUGAGUUGGAUUGUUCUAAUAACAAAUUGGAGGGCCCUCUGCCUAACAAUAUCACAGGGUUUUCAAGCCUAACAUCGUUAAUGUUAUAUGGCAACUUACUGAAUGGGGCAAUGCCUUCUUGGUGUUUAUCUUUGCCAUCUUUGACGACUUUGAAUCUAUCAGGAAACCAGUUCACAGGGCUGCCAGGGCAUAUAAGUACAAUCUCAUCAUAUUCCUUGGAGAGAUUGUCUUUAUCCCACAACAAGUUACAGGGAAACAUUCCAGAAUCAAUUUUCAGACUUGUAAACCUUACUGACUUAGAUCUAUCAUCAAAUAAUUUCAGUGGAUCUGUCCACUUUCCACUUUUCUCCAAGCUUCAAAAUUUGAAAAACCUUGACCUUUCACAGAAUAAUCAGUUAUUACUUAAUUUCAAAUCCAAUGUCAAGUAUAAUUUCUCCCGCCUUUUAUGGAGAUUGGACUUAUCUUCUAUGGAUUUAACUGAAUUUCCAAAAUUAUCAGGAAAAAUCCCAUUUUUGGAAUCACUCCAUUUGUCCAACAACAAACUUAAAGGUAGAGUGCCAAAUUGGUUGCAUGAAGCGAGCUCAUGGUUAUCUGAAUUGGACCUCUCUCAUAACCAACUGAUGCAAUCAUUGGACCAAUUCUCGUGGAACCAACAACUCCGUUACCUUGAUCUUAGUUUUAACUCAAUCACUGGUGGCUUCUCUUCCUCAAUUUGCAAUGCAAGUGCAAUUCAGAUUCUCAACUUGUCUCACAACAAGUUGACAGGAACCAUUCCACAAUGCCUUGCUAACUCAUCAUCGCUUCAAGUUUUGGAUCUACAACUCAACAAGCUUCAUGGCACUUUGCCAAGUACCUUUGCAAAGGACUGUCGGCUCAGAACUCUGGAUCUCAAUGGCAACCAAUUAUUAGAAGGUUUUUUGCCAGAAUCUUUGUCCAAUUGCAAUGAUCUGGAGGUUUUAGAUCUUGGAAACAAUCAAAUAAAGGAUGUGUUUCCCCAUUGGCUUCAAACUCUACCAGAAUUGAAAGUAUUGGUUUUGAGAGCCAACAAGUUGUACGGUCCCAUUGAGGGUUCAAAGACCAAGCAUGGAUUCCCCAGUUUAGUCAUUUUUGAUGUCUCUUCCAACAACUUCAGCGGCCCGAUACCAAAUGCCUACAUAAAAAAUUUUCAAGCCAUGAAGAAAAUUGUUGUUCUAGACACCGAUCGGCAAUACAUGAAAGUUCCUUCAAAUGUUUCUGAGUACGCUGAUUCUGUGACUAUAACAUCAAAAGCAAUUACUAUGACAAUGGAUAGAAUUCGAAAGGACUUUGUAAGCAUUGAUUUAUCGCAAAACAGAUUUGAAGGAAAGAUUCCAAGUGUCAUUGGGGAACUUCAUUCACUCAGAGGGCUCAACCUUUCCCAUAACAGACUUAGAGGUCCUAUUCCCAAUUCCAUGGGAAAUUUAACAAAUUUAGAAUCAUUGGAUCUCUCCUCAAAUAUGCUUACUGGUCGGAUACCUACAGGAUUAACCAAUUUGAACUUUCUUGAAGUCCUAAAUCUUUCCAAUAACCAUUUUGUGGGAGAAAUACCUCAAGGAAAA
This 29843-nucleotide long non-coding RNA is filed under the name Glycine max (soybean). Its description in RNAcentral is "long non-coding RNA (GMAX_LNC003738)". Lineage: Eukaryota; Viridiplantae; Streptophyta; Magnoliopsida; Fabales; Fabaceae. The record is from RNAcentral.